RNA transcript from Panicum virgatum (switchgrass), 2873 nucleotides. It is a transcript of the gene named diphthine methyltransferase-like, with no coding region annotated. The transcript is spliced from 5 exons. The record is from RefSeq and is a predicted model, not a curated record. NCBI's taxonomy places the organism in Eukaryota, Viridiplantae, Streptophyta, Magnoliopsida, Poales, Poaceae.
GGACAUUUUUGCCCCUGCCGCUGAAGUUGUGAAACGAUUUCGGGCACUCUUUGCCGCCGCCGCCUCCGGAUUUGGGGAUGGAUUUGGGCUCGUGCUACCUCGGCGGCAACGCUGACGCGGUGGAGUUCUGCCCGCACCGCCCGUUCCGCCACGUGCUCGCCGCGGCCACCUACACGCUGCAGGAGCAGGAGCAGGACCGCGCGGGCAGCAUCUCCCUCUUCUCCGUCGACGCCGCCGCGGAGGACGAGUCCCAGCGGCUCCGGCUGCUGCAUACUGUAGAGACCGCCGGCGUCUUUGAUAUGAAGUGGAGCCCCGCGUCGCCGCUGCUUGCACAGGCCGAUGCCCACGGCCGCCUCGAGCUACGGCGCCUGGAGCAGGACGACGGCUCGGAUGCAGGCAUUGUCUUCACGGAUGUGUGUGCUGAAGAUAUUUCUUCUUCAAUGUGCCUGUACGUGGACUGGAACCAAACUGCUGAGUCUCUGUCUGUCGGAUUAUCAGAUGGCUCCCUAUCUGUGGUCUCAGUGAGAGAGGACCGAUUGGAGAUAUCAGAACAGUGGGCUGCACAUCAAUUCGAAGUCUGGACAUGUUAUUUUGAUCGCACAAGGCCACACUUGCUGUACAGUGGAUCAGACGACUGCUGUUUCAGUUGCUGGGACUUGAGAGAAAGCCCAUCUAACAUUGUUUUUCAAAACAAAAAGUCUCAUAGUAUGGGUGUUUGUUGUUUUGCUCAGAAUCCAUUUGAGGAGAACAUGCUACUUACUGGAAGUUAUGAUGAAUGUCUCAGAGUUUGGGACAUGAGAUUAAUGGCAAAACCUGUUAACGAAAAGUUGAUAAAUCUAGGAGGUGGUGUGUGGAGGAUGAAGUAUCAUCCAAGUAUUGCAGAUGUUGUAUUGGCUGCAUGCAUGCACAAUGGGUUUGCCAUUGUUAAAGUGGGUUCGGGAGAUGCUACGACAAUGGAAACAUAUUGCAAGCAUGAAUCCCUAGCAUACGGUGCGGAUUGGCAGAAAAGUGAAGGAGCAGAGCAGAAUGGAAAUUCUUCAGUUGUUGCUACUUGUUCAUUUUAUGACCGCCUUCUCCGUGUGUGGCAACCAGAGAACCUAGCCGAGCUUUAAGGCUAAGCUUCAUCUUACUCAAUUCAAGCAUGACUAUGCCAUGAAGCUAUUUCCUGAAUGAACCAAUAUAAUUUCAUUCAGGUUUGCAAGUGGAAUGAGAAUUAAUCUGGAGAAGGAAUAUUGUCAGAAUUGACGUGAGCUGAGGCAAGAACAGCAUUGUUGUGAGUUCCAGCAAAUGAGCACUUACAACAGUAAAAUUUGGUUCCACUUUUAUUGCCCUUUCUCCACUAAAACAUAAUGUGCUGACCAAUACAAAAUACCACCAUGCAGAUUCUCAGUUCUUGCAAUGUAUUUAGCUGGACAGUCACCUGCAGACAUCAUCAAGCUCACCAGGGUAUAUAAAGUACCCCUCUCCCCUCCCCUUGUUCUCAGCCCCCAUAACCAUGGCAGAUGCAUGGCUUGAGCAUCUACAUGGUUCUUGAGAGCUAAAGAGAAUGAAGAUGGAGGGCGAAAGCUGAGCUCCUCCUCAAGAAGCAAAUCUGUUCUCAAGGCGUCGCCUAGGCGACGCCUAGGCGUCCAUGCGCCGUCCACCGAUUUGCGCCUUGCUCGCCUAGGCGUCCAGCCGCCCCACCUUGCUAGGCGUCCGCCUUACCGCCUUGAGAACAGAAGCAUUCAGUUAUAUGGUGGUGGUUAGCUGAGAUAUGUUGAUGGUAUAUGGGUCUGUGCUGCAACUAGAGACAUUCCUAUUUUUUAUUUGUAUUUUUUGUUAUUAUAUGCUGUUUCAGAUUCUUUUAACACACUUUCGUUGCUUGUGUUUGUAAAUUGUGGAUUUGUAGUUCAGCUAUAUACAUACACUACUACCAAGGGAAAAUCUCUUCUGGUUGAUAUAAAGAUAACUGUUAUCUGAAAUAUGAUGUUAUAAGCAAUGAAAAGAGAAGCAAGAAAGGUUGAUACGUACUUCUUUUGGCCUGUCUUAGGAGCAUAUCUUCUGCAUGGAAAGCAACAAAGUAUUUCUCCACUUAGAAGAAAUGACCUAUCAUACCUGUAUUUUACUGCCUUCUGAAAGUAGGAACCUUAGACCAUGCAUUUUGGGCUUUGUUUUAGUGCUUUCGAAACCAGCUGCUCUAGUCAAAGAACUGGAAUACCUUGACGAAAAAAGAGCUGACAUCAUCUGCUGCUAAUCAAAUUCAUGCAAGGAAGAUAUGCGAAGCUAGUCCUAUGCAAUGGGUCUACUGCAAACGCAAGAUUUGCAAUUCUAUCCAAUUAUAACUACAGCUCCGGAGCUUCGUGAUUGUUUUCUCUGCAUUGGCAUGUAGAGAGAUGAAGCCUAACAAUGUCUGGAACCAUCAUCUCACAACUUCCAGGAACCUUUGCCUGCCUGGAGCAGCGAAGCAUACAGUAGUUCGUUCCACGUAUCUGGCACGCCAGGCAAGCACCAGUGGCUGCAGUCCUGCUUUUUCACCGCCGCUAUCCGUUCCUCCUCUGUGCCGUACCAUCUUCGGUACGCUGAUGGAUGGCCAUCUUUUCGGUAAUCAGUGAGUGUGCUGAUGUUGAGGUAUAUCACGGGAGUUUUCAUCUGCCUCAGGACCUGCUCCAGGAUCACCAUCUUCUCAGGGUACUCAGUAAGGUAUGUCUGGUUGAAGAUUGGCUCUGUCUCCGUGUGGCAUCUUCCUCCUGAAUUCCACUGCCCUCCCCUGGGGAAAAAUGCAUCAUUGUCAGAUGAAGAAGAUAUGGUAUCAACAAUCUGCCAGCGUAAUGGCGAUUUCUUACCUGAAAUGUGAUAGUGAAUAUCCUCUGAAUACAACCUGGGUUCUUCUCGAA